Molecule: ribosomal RNA, 1040 nt
Filed under: uncultured bacterium
Lineage: Bacteria
Description: bacterial SSU rRNA
Rfam family: Bacterial small subunit ribosomal RNA
Source: RNAcentral
AGGCAGCAGUGGGGAAUAUUGCACAAUGGGCGAAAGCCUGAUGCAGCAACGCCGCGUGAGGGACGAAGGCCUUCGGGUUGUAAACCUCUUUUAGUAGGGAAGAAGCGAAAGUGACGGUACCUGCAGAAAAAGCACCGGCUAACUACGUGCCAGCAGCCGCGGUAAUACGUAGGGUGCAAGCGUUGUCCGGAAUUAUUGGGCGUAAAGAGCUCGUAGGCGGUUUGUCGCGUCUGCUGUGAAAACCCGAGGCUCAACCUCGGGCCUGCAGUGGGUACGGGCAGACUAGAGUGCGGUAGGGGAGAUUGGAAUUCCUGGUGUAGCGGUGGAAUGCGCAGAUAUCAGGAGGAACACCAAUGGCGAAGGCAGAUCUCUGGGCCGUAACUGACGCUGAGGAGCGAAAGCAUGGGGAGCGAACAGGAUUAGAUACCCUGGUAGUCCAUGCCGUAAACGUUGGGAACUAGAUGUGGGGACCAUUCCACGGUCUCCGUGUCGCAGCUAACGCAUUAAGUUCCCCGUCUGGGGGAGUACGGCCGCAAGGCUAAAACUCAAAGGAAUUGACGGGGGCCCGCACAAGCGGCGGAGCAUGCGGAUUAAUUCGAUGCAACGCGAAGAACCUUACCAAGGCUUGACAUAUAGAGGAAACGGCUGGAAACAGUCGCCCCGCAAGGUCUCUAUACAGGUGGUGCAUGGUUGUCGUCAGCUCGUGUCGUGAGAUGUUGGGUUAAGUCCCGCAACGAGCGCAACCCUCGUCCUAUGUUGCCAGCACGUAAUGGUGGGAACUCAUGGGAUACUGCCGGGGUCAACUCGAAGGAAGGUGGGGAUGACGUCAAAUCAUCAUGCCCCUUAUGUCUUGGGCUUCACGCAUGCUACAAUGGCCGGUACAAAGGGCUGCAAUACCGUAAGGUGGAGCGAAUCCCAAAAAGCCGGUCUCAGUUCGGAUUGAGGUCUGCAACUCGACCUCAUGAAGUCGGAGUCGCUAGUAAUCGCAGAUCAGCAACGCUGCGGUGAAUACGUUCCCGGGCCUUGUACACACCGCCCGU